AGCAGCCGCGGUAAUUCCAGCUCCAAUAGUGUAUAUUAAAGUUGCUGCGGUUAAAAAGCUCGUAGUUGGAUUUCGGAGUUGUUAUCUGAACCUUCUCGCCCUAAAAAGUGGGGGGGCUAAGGUAGCAGUAGUUUUCAUCAUAGUCCAUCAGGAUACUCUCUUGAUGUGUACUGGGUGUUAACCUCCUUUUUUUCUGGUACUUGCUAUCCAGCAAUGGGUAGCUUUGUCCAGAUAGUUUACUUUGAAAAAAUUAGAGUGUUCAAAGCAGGCAUAAUUGGCAUCAUGAAUACAUUAGCAUGGGAUAAUAGAAUAUGACAUUGGUCUUAUUUUGUUGGUUUCUAAGGCCAAAGUAAUGAUUGAUAGGGAUAGUUGGGGCCGCUCGUAUUGAGUUGUCAGAGGUGAAAUUCUAGGAUUUACUCAAGACGAACUAAUGCGAAAGCAUUCGGCAAGGAUGUUUCAUUAAUCAAGAACGAAAAGUUAGGGGAUCGAAGAUGAUCAGAUACCGUCGUAGUCUCAACCAU
This 521-nucleotide ribosomal RNA is filed under the name uncultured eukaryote. RNAcentral describes it as "bacterial SSU rRNA". It matches the Rfam family "Eukaryotic small subunit ribosomal RNA", at positions 569 to 1033 of the family's 1831-position model. The record is from RNAcentral.